GGCCAGACUCCUACGGGAGGCAGCAGUGGGGAAUAUUGCACAAUGGGGGAAACCCUGAUGCAGCGACGCCGCGUGAGUGAAGAAGUAUUUCGGUAUGUAAAGCUCUAUCAGCAGGGAAGAAGUUGACGGUACCUGAGUAAGAAGCCCCGGCUAACUACGUGCCAGCAGCCGCGGUAAUACGUAGGGGGCAAGCGUUAUCCGGAUUUACUGGGUGUAAAGGGAGCGUAGACGGCAGUGCAAGUCUGAAGUGAAAGCCCCGGGCUUAACCCGGGAACUGCUUUGGAAACUGUACGGCUGGAGUGCUGGAGAGGUAAGCGGAAUUCCUAGUGUAGCGGUGAAAUGCGUAGAUAUUAGGAGGAACACCAGUGGCGAAGGCGGCUUACUGGACAGUAACUGACGUUGAGGCUCGAAAGCGUGGGGAGCAAACAGGAUUAGAUACCCUAGUA
This 446-nucleotide ribosomal RNA is filed under the name uncultured bacterium. RNAcentral's name for it is "bacterial SSU rRNA". It matches the Rfam family "Bacterial small subunit ribosomal RNA", at positions 329 to 792 of the family's 1533-position model. The record is from RNAcentral.